This 385-nucleotide ribosomal RNA is filed under the name uncultured bacterium. Its description in RNAcentral is "bacterial SSU rRNA". It matches the Rfam family "Bacterial small subunit ribosomal RNA", at positions 30 to 419 of the family's 1533-position model. The record is from RNAcentral.
AUUGAACGCUGGCGGUAGGCCUAACACAUGCAAGUCGAACGCGAAAGUCCUUCGGAUGAGUAGAGUGGCGGACGGGUGAGUAACGCGUAGGAAUCUAUCCUGUAGUGGGGGAUAACGUUUCGAAAGGAACGCUAAUACCGCAUACGCCCCAAGGGGGAAAGCGGGGGAUCUUCGGACCUCGUGCUAUAGGAGGAGCCUGCGUCGGAUUAGCUAGUUGGUGAGGUAAAGGCUCACCAAGGCGACGAUCCGUAGCUGGUCUGAGAGGAUGAUCAGCCACACCGGAACUGAGACACGGUCCGGACUCCUACGGGAGGCAGCAGUGGGGAAUAUUGCGCAAUGGGCGAAAGCCUGACGCAGCCAUACCGCGUGUGUGAAGAAGGCCUUC